RNAcentral lists this non-coding RNA (31 nucleotides) under Rattus norvegicus (Norway rat). The record is from RNAcentral. Lineage: Eukaryota; Metazoa; Chordata; Mammalia; Rodentia; Muridae.
AGCCUGGUGUGUGGUGCUAUGACACAUAUGC